GACGAACGCUGGCGGCGUGCCUAAUACAUGCAAGUUGAGCGCUGAAGGUUGGUACUUGUACCAACUGGAUGAGCAGCGAACGGGUGAGUAACGCGUGGGGAAUCUGCCUUUGAGCGGGGGACAACAUUUGGAAACGAAUGCUAAUACCGCAUAAAAACUUUAAACACAAGUUUUAAGUUUGAAAGAUGCAAUUGCAUCACUCAAAGAUGAUCCCGCGUUGUAUUAGCUAGUUGGUGAGGUAAAAGCGCACCAAGGCGAUGAUACAUAGCCGACCUGAGAGGGUGAGCGGCCACAUUGGGACGGAGACACGGCCCAAACUCCUACGGGAGGCAGCAGUAGGGAAUCUUCGGCAAUGGACGAAAGUCUGACCGAGCAACGCCGCGUGAGUGAAGAAGGUUUUCGGAUCGUAAAACUCUGUUGGUAGAGAAGAACGUUGGUGAGAGUGGAAAGCUCAUCAAGUGACGGUAACUACCCAGAAAGGGACGGCUAACUACGUG
This 497-nucleotide ribosomal RNA is filed under the name uncultured bacterium. RNAcentral's name for it is "partial 16S ribosomal RNA". It matches the Rfam family "Bacterial small subunit ribosomal RNA", at positions 28 to 507 of the family's 1533-position model. The record is from RNAcentral.